UUGACCUCAAAUCAGGUAGGACUACCCGCUGAACUUAAGCAUAUCAAUAAGCGGAGGAAAAGAAACUAACAAGGAUUCCCCUAGUAACUGCGAGUGAAGCGGGAAAAGCUCAAAUUUGAAAUCUGGCGGUUCUUGACCGUCCGAGUUGUAAUCUAGAGAAGUGUUACCUGUGCUGGACCGUGUACAAGUCUUCUGGAAUGGAGCAUCAUAGAGGGUGAGAAUCCCGUCUUUGACACGGACUACCUGUACAUUGUGGUGCGCUCUCGAAGAGUCGAGUUGUUUGGGAAUGCAGCUCAAAAUGGGUGGUAAAUGCCAUCUAAAGCUAAAUAUUGGCGAGAGACCGAUAGCGAACAAGUACCGUGAGGGAAAGAUGAAAAGAACUUUGGAAAGAGAGUUAAACAGUACGUGAAAUUGCUGAAAGGGAAACGCUUGAAGUCAGUCGCGUCGGCUAGAAAUCAACCUUGCUUUUGCUUGGUGUAUUUUCUGGUCUUUGACGGGUCAGCAUCAAUUUUGACCGCUGGAUAAAGUCUUUGGGAAUGUGGCAUCUUAGGAUGUGUUAUAGCCCAUUGUCGCAUACUGCGGUUGGGAUUGAGGAACUCAGCACGCCGCAAGGCCAGGUUUCGACCAUGUUUUGUGCUUAGGAUGCUGGCAUAAUGGCUUUAAUCGACC
Molecule: ribosomal RNA, 669 nt
Filed under: Inocybe glabrescens
Lineage: Eukaryota; Fungi; Basidiomycota; Agaricomycetes; Agaricales; Inocybaceae
Description: eukaryotic LSU rRNA
Rfam family: Eukaryotic large subunit ribosomal RNA
Source: RNAcentral